Molecule: ribosomal RNA, 524 nt
Filed under: uncultured bacterium
Lineage: Bacteria
Description: bacterial SSU rRNA
Rfam family: Bacterial small subunit ribosomal RNA
Source: RNAcentral
UGGGGAAUAUUGGACAAUGGACCAAAAGUCUGAUCCAGCAAUUCUGUGUGCACGAUGAAGUUUUUCGGAAUGUAAAGUGCUUUCAGUUGGGAAGAAGAAAGUGACGGUACCAACAGAAGAAGUGACGGCUAAAUACGUGCCAGCAGCCGCGGUAAUACGUAUGUCACAAGCGUUAUCCGGAUUUAUUGGGCGUAAAGCGCGUCUAGGCGGUUAAUUAAGUCUGAUGUGAAAAUGCGGAGCUCAACUCCGUAUUGCGUUGGAAACUGGUUAACUAGAGUACUGGAGAGGUAAGCGGAACUACAAGUGUAGAGGUGAAAUUCGUAGAUAUUUGUAGGAAUGCCGAUGGGGAAGCCAGCUUACUGGACAGAUACUGACGCUAAAGCGCAAAAGCGUGGGUAGCAAACAGGAUUAGAUACCCUGGUAGUCCACGCUGUAAACGAUGAUUACUAGGUGUUGGGGGUCGAACCUCAGCGCCCAAGCUAACGCGAUAAGUAAUCCGCCUGGGGAGUACGUACGCAAGUAUG